CACACCCGUUCCCAUCCCGAACACGGAAGUUAAGCUCUUUUGCGCCGAUGGUAGUUGGGGGUUUCCCCCUGUGAGAGUAGGACGUCGCUGGGC
RNAcentral lists this ribosomal RNA (93 nucleotides) under Planococcus citreus. Lineage: Bacteria; Bacillati; Bacillota; Bacilli; Caryophanales; Caryophanaceae. RNAcentral also lists the same sequence under 1 other name. The record is from RNAcentral.